UGUGUGUGUGUGUGUGCGUGCUUGAAAAUUCGUCAAGUUUUGUCCCUUUCCCACUCCCAUUACUCCGAGUAGCGGGCGGCAGCGAAGAAGAGAAUCAAAAGGGAAUGAGUGCUCUCGUUCCAAGUGAAGUUCGUGGCAGGGUGAGGCAUUCCCAAUAGUGCUAAACUGACUUUCUCCUGUUUCUUGUGUUCACACGAACUUCCGCCCUCUGGUGCCUCACCCUGAAUAUAUCUGCCUACAAUUUGGGCCAACGGAAGAAGAAUUUUGAAACUGUUUUUGGAUGCAUGUUUUUGGGUUCAGAUCUUUGUUAAGAAGCUUAAGGGUUGAAUUUGGCAUCAGAUCAUGGAUAAGGGGAAUUUUUAAUUUAUUCUUUGAUAUUUUUGUACUUUUAAUUUAAAUUUAUUUUUUGGGUUUACAGAAAAGGUCCGUUGAUGGUCUAAGCCGCAAGCUUAGAUCCUUUAUAAGGGGAAUUUUAUCAUUUAAUUCUUGAUGUUUAAUUUUCAUUAAUUUUUUGUAUUUUAUUUUUUUUUUAGCUCACAGAAAAUAUAUUUGAUGUGAUUUUGUUAUGCAUUUAGGUUCAGAUCUUUGAUAUGGGAAAAUUUUUAAUUUAAUCUUCGAUUUUUUAUUUAAAUUUAUAUAAUUUUUUUGUGAGUUUUGUGGUUGGAUUUGGGAGCGGAUUUUUGUUAAGCGGAAUUGUUAAUUAAUUAAAUUUAAAUUAAAUUUUUUUUUAAAUCAUUCUUGGGCUAACAGAAACGGUUGUUAAUGGGCUUUGGGGUUGAAUUUGGGAUUAGAUCUUUGAUAAAGAUAUUUUUGUAAUUUAAUCUUCGAUUUAUUUAAACUUCAUUAUUUUAAUCCUAUUUUUGUUUACAGAAAAAUGUAUUGAUGGGCCUUGGGAUUAGAUUUUGUUCAGAUCUUUGAUGGGGGAAUUUUGGUAAUUUAAACUUCAAUUUUUUUUUAUUUAAGUGUCAUUAUUUUUAUCCCUCUGGAUUGAAUUUGGUUUCAGAUCUUUAAUGAGGGGAUUUUUUUUUUCAUUUAAUGUUUCAUUUUUUAU
Molecule: small RNA, 1051 nt
Filed under: Drosophila pseudoobscura pseudoobscura
Lineage: Eukaryota; Metazoa; Arthropoda; Insecta; Diptera; Drosophilidae
Description: GA31273
Source: RNAcentral